This 1156-nucleotide ribosomal RNA is filed under the name Brinjal little leaf phytoplasma. RNAcentral's name for it is "bacterial SSU rRNA". It matches the Rfam family "Bacterial small subunit ribosomal RNA", at positions 189 to 1340 of the family's 1533-position model. The record is from RNAcentral. Lineage: Bacteria; Bacillati; Mycoplasmatota; Mollicutes; Acholeplasmatales; Acholeplasmataceae.
CAUCUUUUUGUUUUUAAAAGACCUUCUUACGAAGGUAUGCUUAAAGAGGGGCUUGCGCCACAUUAGUUAGUUGGUAGAGUAAAAGCCUACCAAGACGAUGAUUUGUAGCUGGACUGAGAGGUUGAACAGCCCCAUUGGGACUGAGCCACGGCCCAAACUCCUACGGGAGGCAGCAGUAGGGAAUUUUUCGGCAAUGGAGGAAACUCUGACCGAGCAACGCCGCGUGAACGAUGAAGUAUUUCGGUAUGUAAAGUUCUUUUAUUGAAGAAGAAAAAGUAGUGGAAAAACUAUAUUGACGUUAUUCAAUGAAUAAGCCCCGGCUAACUAUGUGCCAGCAGCCGCGGUAAGACAUAGGGGGCGAGCGUUAUCCGGAAUUAUUGGGCGUAAAGGGUGCGUAGGCUGUUAGAUAAGUCUAUAAUUUAAUUUCAGUGCUUAACGCUGUCUUGUUAUAGAAACUGUCUUGACUAGAGUGAGAUAGAGGCAAGCGGAAUUCCAUGUGUAGCGGUAAAAUGUGUAAAUAUAUGGAGGAACACCAGAAGCGUAGGCGGCUUGCUGGGUCUUUACUGACGCUGAGGCACGAAAGCGUGGGUAGCAAACAGGAUUAGAUACCCUGGUAGUCCACGCCGUAAACGAUGAGUACUAAGUGUCGGGGUAAAACUCGGUACUGAAGUUAACACAUUAAGUACUCCGCCUGAGUAGUACGUACGCAAGUAUGAAACUUAAAGGAAUUGACGGGACUCCGCACAAGCGGUGGAUCAUGUUGUUUAAUUCGAAGAUACACGAAAAAUCUUACCAGGUCUUGACAUACUCUGCAAAGCUAUAGAAAUAUAGUGGAGGUUAUCAGGGAUACAGGUGGUGCAUGGUUGUCGUCAGUUCGUGUCGUGAGAUGUUAGGUUAAGUCCUAAAACGAACGCAACCCUUGUCGUUAAUUGCCAGCACAUAAUGGUGGGGACUUUAACGAGACUGCCAAUUAAACAUUGGAGGAAGGUGAGGAUUACGUCAAAUCAUCAUGCCCCUUAUGAUCUGGGCUACAAACGUGAUACAAUGGCUGUGACAAAGAGUAGCUGAAACGCGAGUUUUUAGCCAAUCUCAAAAAAGCAGUCUCAGUUCGGAUUGAAGUCUGUAGCUAGACUUCAUGAAGUUGGUGUAACUAGUA